Molecule: ribosomal RNA, 503 nt
Filed under: swine fecal bacterium FPC55
Lineage: Bacteria
Description: bacterial SSU rRNA
Rfam family: Bacterial small subunit ribosomal RNA
Source: RNAcentral
GAGAGUUUGAUCCUGGCUCAGGAUGAACGCUGGCGGCGUGCCUAAUACAUGCAAGUCGAACGAAUCUUCUUCGGAAGAUGAGUGGCGAACGGGUGAGUAAUACAUAGGUAACCUGCCCCUGUGCGGGGGAUAACAGGAGGAAACUCCUGCUAAUACCGCAUAGCCAUGAGCACCGCAUGGAGCUCAUGCCAAAUAUCCUUUAUGGGAUAGCGCAGGGAUGGACCUAUGGCGCAUUAGCUUGUUGGCGGGGCAACGGCCCACCAAGGCAACGAUGCGUAGCCGGCCUGAGAGGGCGGACGGCCACAUUGGGACUGAGACACGGCCCAGACUCCUACGGGAGGCAGCAGUAGGGAAUUUUCGGCAAUGGGGGAAACCCUGACCGAGCAACGCCGCGUGAGCGAAGAAGGCCUUCGGGUCGUAAAGCUCUGUUGUAAAGGAAGAACGUCGCAUGCAGGAAAUGGUGUGCGAGUGACGGUACUUUACCAGAAAGCCACGGCUAACUA